Molecule: ribosomal RNA, 1498 nt
Filed under: Lactiplantibacillus plantarum
Lineage: Bacteria; Bacillati; Bacillota; Bacilli; Lactobacillales; Lactobacillaceae
Description: bacterial SSU rRNA
Rfam family: Bacterial small subunit ribosomal RNA
Source: RNAcentral
CAGGACGAACGCUGGCGGCGUGCCUAAUACAUGCAAGUCGAACGAACUCUGGUAUUGAUUGGUGCUUGCAUCAUGAUUUACAUUUGAGUGAGUGGCGAACUGGUGAGUAACACGUGGGAAACCUGCCCAGAAGCGGGGGAUAACACCUGGAAACAGAUGCUAAUACCGCAUAACAACUUGGACCGCAUGGUCCGAGUUUGAAAGAUGGCUUCGGCUAUCACUUUUGGAUGGUCCCGCGGCGUAUUAGCUAGAUGGUGGGGUAACGGCUCACCAUGGCAAUGAUACGUAGCCGACCUGAGAGGGUAAUCGGCCACAUUGGGACUGAGACACGGCCCAAACUCCUACGGGAGGCAGCAGUAGGGAAUCUUCCACAAUGGACGAAAGUCUGAUGGAGCAACGCCGCGUGAGUGAAGAAGGGUUUCGGCUCGUAAAACUCUGUUGUUAAAGAAGAACAUAUCUGAGAGUAACUGUUCAGGUAUUGACGGUAUUUAACCAGAAAGCCACGGCUAACUACGUGCCAGCAGCCGCGGUAAUACGUAGGUGGCAAGCGUUGUCCGGAUUUAUUGGGCGUAAAGCGAGCGCAGGCGGUUUUUUAAGUCUGAUGUGAAAGCCUUCGGCUCAACCGAAGAAGUGCAUCGGAAACUGGGAAACUUGAGUGCAGAAGAGGACAGUGGAACUCCAUGUGUAGCGGUGAAAUGCGUAGAUAUAUGGAAGAACACCAGUGGCGAAGGCGGCUGUCUGGUCUGUAACUGACGCUGAGGCUCGAAAGUAUGGGUAGCAAACAGGAUUAGAUACCCUGGUAGUCCAUACCGUAAACGAUGAAUGCUAAGUGUUGGAGGGUUUCCGCCCUUCAGUGCUGCAGCUAACGCAUUAAGCAUUCCGCCUGGGGAGUACGGCCGCAAGGCUGAAACUCAAAGGAAUUGACGGGGGCCCGCACAAGCGGUGGAGCAUGUGGUUUAAUUCGAAGCUACGCGAAGAACCUUACCAGGUCUUGACAUACUAUGCAAAUCUAAGAGAUUAGACGUUCCCUUCGGGGACAUGGAUACAGGUGGUGCAUGGUUGUCGUCAGCUCGUGUCGUGAGAUGUUGGGUUAAGUCCCGCAACGAGCGCAACCCUUAUUAUCAGUUGCCAGCAUUAAGUUGGGCACUCUGGUGAGACUGCCGGUGACAAACCGGAGGAAGGUGGGGAUGACGUCAAAUCAUCAUGCCCCUUAUGACCUGGGCUACACACGUGCUACAAUGGAUGGUACAACGAGUUGCGAACUCGCGAGAGUAAGCUAAUCUCUUAAAGCCAUUCUCAGUUCGGAUUGUAGGCUGCAACUCGCCUACAUGAAGUCGGAAUCGCUAGUAAUCGCGGAUCAGCAUGCCGCGGUGAAUACGUUCCCGGGCCUUGUACACACCGCCCGUCACACCAUGAGAGUUUGUAACACCCAAAGUCGGUGGGGUAACCUUUUAGGAACCAGCCGCCUAAGGUGGGACAGAUGAUUAGGGUGAAGUCG